GAUGGACGCUGGCGGCGUGCUUAACACAUGCAAGUCGAACGGAAAGGCCCAAGCUUGCUUGGGUGCUCGAGUGGCGAACGGGUGAGUAACACGUGGGUGAUCUGCCCUGCACUUUGGGAUAAGCCUGGGAAACUGGGUCUAAUACCGGAUAGGACCAUCGUUUAGUGUCGGUGGUGGAAAGUUUUUCGGUGUGGGAUGAGCUCGCGGCCUAUCAGCUUGUUGGUGGGGUAAUGGCCUACCAAGGCGUCGACGGGUAGCCGGCCUGAGAGGGUGUACGGCCACAUUGGGGAUGGGGUAAGGCCCAGACUCCUACGGGGGGCAGCAGGGGGGGAUUAUGCACAAUGGGCGCAAGGCUGGUGGAGGGGAGGCGGGGGGGGGGAGGCCGGCUUCGGGUUGUAAACUCCUUUCGCCAAGGACGAAGCGUUUUGUGACGGUACUUGGAGAAGAAGCACCGGCUAACUACGUG
RNAcentral lists this ribosomal RNA (466 nucleotides) under uncultured bacterium. Its description in RNAcentral is "partial 16S ribosomal RNA". It matches the Rfam family "Bacterial small subunit ribosomal RNA", at positions 28 to 507 of the family's 1533-position model. The record is from RNAcentral.